AUACGGAGGAUGCGAGCGUUAUCCGGAUUUAUUGGGUUUAAAGGGUGCGUAGGCGGACGUUCAAGUCGGCGGUCAAAUGGGCGGGCUCAACCCGUUCUCGCCGUCGAAACUGGGCGACUGGAGUGGGAGAGAGGCAUGCGGAAUGCGCGGUGUAGCGGUGAAAUGCAUAGAUAUCGCGCAGAACUCCGAUCGCGAAGGCAGCGUGCCGGCUCCUUACUGACGCUGAAGCACGAAAGCGUGGGGAUCGAACAGGAUUAGAUACCCUGGUAGUCCACGCAGUAAACGAUGAGCACUAGGUGUGCGGCCGGUCAGGCUGCGUGCCACAGCGAAAGCGUUAAGUGCUCCACCUGGGGAGUACGCCGGCAACGGUGAAACUCAAAUGAAUUGACGGGG
Molecule: ribosomal RNA, 393 nt
Filed under: uncultured bacterium
Lineage: Bacteria
Description: partial 16S ribosomal RNA
Rfam family: Bacterial small subunit ribosomal RNA
Source: RNAcentral